This 484-nucleotide ribosomal RNA is filed under the name uncultured bacterium. RNAcentral's name for it is "partial 16S ribosomal RNA". It matches the Rfam family "Bacterial small subunit ribosomal RNA", at positions 28 to 523 of the family's 1533-position model. The record is from RNAcentral.
GACGAACGCUGGCGGCGUGCUUAACACAUGCAAGUCGAACGGUGAACUUGGAGCUUGCUCCGGGGGAUCAGUGGCGAACGGGUGAGUAACACGUGAGUAACCUGCCCCAGACUCUGGGAUAACAUCGGGAAACCGUGGCUAAUACCGGAUACGAGAUGAGACCGCAUGGUCAUUGUCUGGAAAGAAUUUCGGUCUGGGAUGGACUCGCGGCCUAUCAGCUAGUUGGUGAGGUAAUGGCUCACCAAGGCGACGACGGGUAGCCGGCAUGAGAGGGCGACCGGCCACACUGGAUCUGAAACACGGUCCAGACUCCUACGGGAGGCAGCAGUGGGGAAUAUUGCACAAUGUGCGCAGGCCUGAUGCAGCGACGCCGCGUGGGGGAUGAAGGCCUUCGGGUUGUAAACCCCUUUCAGCAGGGAAGAAGCGAAAGUGACGGUACCUGCAGAAGAAGCGCCGGCUAACUACGUGCCAGCAGCCGCGGUAA